RNAcentral lists this ribosomal RNA (536 nucleotides) under Pantoea sp. L2.14. RNAcentral describes it as "bacterial SSU rRNA". It matches the Rfam family "Bacterial small subunit ribosomal RNA", at positions 848 to 1385 of the family's 1533-position model. The record is from RNAcentral. Lineage: Bacteria; Pseudomonadati; Pseudomonadota; Gammaproteobacteria; Enterobacterales; Erwiniaceae.
GAGCUAACGCGUUAAGUCGACCGCCUGGGGAGUACGGCCGCAAGGUUAAAACUCAAAUGAAUUGACGGGGGCCCGCACAAGCGGUGGAGCAUGUGGUUUAAUUCGAUGCAACGCGAAGAACCUUACCUACUCUUGACAUCCAGAGAACUUACCAGAGAUGGUUUGGUGCCUUCGGGAACUCUGAGACAGGUGCUGCAUGGCUGUCGUCAGCUCGUGUUGUGAAAUGUUGGGUUAAGUCCCGCAACGAGCGCAACCCUUAUCCUUUGUUGCCAGCGGUCCGGCCGGGAACUCAAAGGAGACUGCCAGUGAUAAACUGGAGGAAGGUGGGGAUGACGUCAAGUCAUCAUGGCCCUUACGAGUAGGGCUACACACGUGCUACAAUGGCGCAUACAAAGAGAAGCGACCUCGCGAGAGCAAGCGGACCUCAUAAAGUGCGUCGUAGUCCGGAUUGGAGUCUGCAACUCGACUCCAUGAAGUCGGAAUCGCUAGUAAUCGUAGAUCAGAAUGCUACGGUGAAUACGUUCCCGGGCCUUGUA